Molecule: ribosomal RNA, 253 nt
Filed under: uncultured bacterium
Lineage: Bacteria
Description: partial 16S ribosomal RNA
Rfam family: Bacterial small subunit ribosomal RNA
Source: RNAcentral
UACAGAGGUGGCAAGCGUUGUUCGGAAUUACUGGGCGUAAAGGGCGCGUAGGCGGUCUUGUAAGUCUUGUGUGAAAUCCCUGGGCUCAACCCAGGAACUGCGUCCGAUACUGGGAGGCUUGAAUCCGGGAGAGGGAUGUGGAAUUCCAGGUGUAGCGGUGAAAUGCGUAGAUAUCUGGAGGAACACCGGUGGCGAAGGCGGCAUCCUGGACCGGUAUUGACGCUGAUGCGCGAAAGCCAGGGGAGCAAACGGG